AACGAACGCUGGCGGCGUGCCUAACACAUGCAAGUCGAGCGGGAACGUCUCCUUCGGGGGGCAAGUACAGCGGCGAACGGGUGAGUAACACGUAGGUAACCUACCCUGGUGUCUGGGAUAACCUGUCGAAAGGUGGGCUAAUACCAGAUAAGACCACGAGGACUUUGGUCCUUGAGGUAAAAGAUGGCCUCUGCUUGCAUGCUAUCACUCCGGGAGGGGCCUGCGCGCCAUUAGCUAGUUGGUGGGGUAACGGCUCACCAAGGCUGAGAUGGCUAGCUGGUCUGAGAGGAUGAUCAGCCACACUGGGACUGAGACACGGCCCAGACUCCUACGGGAGGCAGCAGUGGGGAAUAUUGCGCAAUGGGCGAAAGCCUGACGCAGCGACGCCGUGUGGGUGAUGAAGGCCUUCGGGUCGUAAAGCCCUGUCGGGAGGGACGAAAUCUUGUCGGUCUAAUACGCCGGCGACUUGACGGUACCUCUAAAGGAAGCACCGGCUAACUCCGUGCCAGCAGCCGCGGUAAUACGGAGGGUGCAAGCGUUGUUCGGAAUUACUGGGCGUAAAGCGCGUGUAGGCGGCUUUCUAAGUCUGGUGUGAAAGCCCGGGGCUCACCCCCGGAAGUGCAUUGGAUACUGGAAGGCUAGAGUACCGGAGAGGAAGGUAGAAUUCCUGGUGUAGCGGUGAAAUGCGUAGAUAUCAGGAGGAAUACCGGUGGCGAAGGCGACCUUCUGGACGGAUACUGACGCUGAGACGCGAAA
This 756-nucleotide ribosomal RNA is filed under the name uncultured bacterium. RNAcentral's name for it is "bacterial SSU rRNA". It matches the Rfam family "Bacterial small subunit ribosomal RNA", at positions 28 to 758 of the family's 1533-position model. The record is from RNAcentral.